Molecule: non-coding RNA, 1175 nt
Organism: Paramuricea clavata
Lineage: Eukaryota; Metazoa; Cnidaria; Anthozoa; Malacalcyonacea; Plexauridae
Source: the annotation of a GenBank genome assembly
UCGUCCCCAAUCUCCAGACUGCAGAGUACGGCAAGUGCACACCCGAGUUUUUUUUUGGCCAAUGGUAUUGCACACUUAAACAUAUUUAAAAUAUUUUCCAGUUUUGUCAGGCAUUAAAAUAAGGACUUCUAAGACAAGUGUAAUAUAACAACCAUCUGAAUAUCGGGAACGCUGAUUCAUGAGCGCAAAUGAAAAAUGUCCAUUAAAGUUUCGAAUUUCUAUCUACAGCAGAGUUUUGCGAUCAUCAGGUUCAGGGGCGUAGGAAGCGGGGGGGCACGGGGGGCACGUGCCCCCCCAAAUUUUUUUAAAGGACUAAAAGUGCCCUUUUUUGUGAUAAAAAGUGCCCUUUUUGUGUUGAAAAGUGCCCUUUUUUGUGAGGAAAAGUGCCCCUUUUGUAGAAGCUAAUGUCGCUGUAAAUACUAAAUUAAAACAAUAGGUGCCGUGUUUGUGUGGAAAUUUACAAAUUUUUUUUAAAAAUUAGGUCACAAACAUAAAUUUCGGUAUGAUACGACGGAAAAUUUUCCUCAGGAGAAAUUUCUCUCCCCCCCCCCCGUCGACAACAUUUCCGGGGAAAAUUUUUUAGGUGCCCUUUCCGAUAGUAAUGUGCCCCUACAAGCCGGUGCCCCCCCAAACUCCAGGUGCUUCCUACGCCCCUGAUCAGGUUGUUAUGAUUAAACAAAACCGUAUAGCAUGUAAGCUUGGGCACAAGAGAACUUAUAAUUGGUCCGAUUUCCUCGAGGCGCCACCAUGGUUGGCGCCGAGCGGAAAAUUUUUGAAAUUUGGAGUCCCUACAUUGUCGGAAAUGGCAUUUUCGAGUGAAACACUUUCCAUUUACAACUCAAUUACAAGGACAUGCACAUUUUCCUUUUACAGGACAAAAAGUGUGUCAAAAACACGCUAUUUUGUACAUGUUCAUAAUGACUUUUAACUCCGAUCGAAAUAUAUAUUCUUGUUUGUUCGUCAGAAUUUGGACCACGUUUUGUUUUCCUGAGAGGCAGAAAUUUUAGUUAUUUGUACAAAUAAACAAUCAUUGUUUAAUAUCAUUAGAACAUGCAGCUAUUUACAAGUGCACACUUGACUACGUUAACUGAGGAUUGCACACUUGCACACCUGAAUUUUUGUCUUGCACACCCGAGAUCUCGUCGAAAACUGCCAUACUCUGCAGUCUGGCCCAA